CGUAGAAGACUAGUGUUAUUCAUCUUUAAUAGGUUUAAAGGGUACCUAGACGGUAUAAUUAGUCUUUAACAGGAAACGGUUAUACUAGAGUUAUAUAUGAGGAGGUGAGUAUUUGUGGAGUAGAGUUGAAAUUCUUUGAUACCAUGACGACUGGUAAAGGCGAAAGCAACCUUUUAUCUAAUAACUGACGUUGAGGGACGAAGGCUCGGGUCGCGAACAGGAUU
Molecule: ribosomal RNA, 224 nt
Filed under: uncultured bacterium
Lineage: Bacteria
Description: partial 16S ribosomal RNA
Rfam family: Bacterial small subunit ribosomal RNA
Source: RNAcentral